RNAcentral lists this ribosomal RNA (468 nucleotides) under uncultured bacterium. RNAcentral describes it as "partial 16S ribosomal RNA". It matches the Rfam family "Bacterial small subunit ribosomal RNA", at positions 28 to 507 of the family's 1533-position model. The record is from RNAcentral.
GACGAACGCUGGCGGCGUGCUUAACACAUGCAAGUCGAACGGAAAGGCCCUGCUUUUGUGGGGUGCUCGAGUGGCGAACGGGUGAGUAACACGUGAGUAACCUGCCCUUGACUUUGGGAUAACUUCAGGAAACUGGGGCUAAUACCGGAUAGGAGCUCCUGCUGCAUGGUGGGGGCUGGAAAGUUUCGGCGGUUGGGGAUGGACUCGCGGCUUAUCAGCUUGUUGGUGGGGUAGUGGCUUACCAAGGCUUUGACGGGUAGCCGGCCUGGGAGGGUGACCGGCCCCAUUGGGCCUGAGGUACGGCCCAGACUCCUACGGGAGGCAGCAGUGGGGAAUAUUGCACAAUGGGCGGAAGCCUGAUGCAGCAACGCCGCGUGCGGGAUGACGGCCUUCGGGUUGUAAACCGCUUUCGCCUGUGACGAAGCGUGAGUGACGGUAAUGGGUAAAGAAGCACCGGCUAACUACGUG